CUGCCAGGAUGCAACAAACACAUUGGUUUGGAUGGACACAAAAUCCAUUUCUGGUGUGUGCAGUGCAAGUGUGGAGGAAUUCCUGUUGGCCUGAACCAUCUGCUCUCCUGUGAGCACCUGACACUGCACAGAGCCAAAGCUGCCAUGGCCUCUGCUGUGCCCAACAAGGAGGAGGUGGCCCAGAGCUCCCCAGAGGAGGAGCAGGAGGUUGGUGCUCCCUGUGGGAUGUGAGGAGGUGGUCCUGCUGUGGCUGAGGGGAGCUGAG
Molecule: long non-coding RNA, 265 nt
Filed under: Parus major (Great Tit)
Lineage: Eukaryota; Metazoa; Chordata; Aves; Passeriformes; Paridae
Description: lncRNA (ENSPMJG00000002277.1)
Source: RNAcentral